CAAAGAAAGAUGCUAAACUAUUUUUGCGAUGUGUUCCUAAUAUGUAAUGUAACUGUAUUGGGGACACUUGGCAUUCAUAGUUUUGUAUCAAUAAUGCGG
Molecule: microRNA precursor, 99 nt
Filed under: Ochotona princeps (American pika)
Lineage: Eukaryota; Metazoa; Chordata; Mammalia; Lagomorpha; Ochotonidae
Description: miRNA (ENSOPRG00000017501.1)
Rfam family: mir-450 microRNA precursor family (bases 12-89)
Source: RNAcentral